Molecule: long non-coding RNA, 407 nt
Organism: Magnolia sinica
Lineage: Eukaryota; Viridiplantae; Streptophyta; Magnoliopsida; Magnoliales; Magnoliaceae
Exons: 2
Source: RefSeq, a predicted model, not a curated record
UCCCCCAAUGGUCAUUCUGAUUUAUGAAUGCUAUGACUAUUUGUUGGAUGAUGGAAUAUACGAAGCUAUUGCAGGAAGUGAUUUUGUCAUUACUAGCUAGAGUUGCAUUUCGAGACAACUCUUAAAAGUACUACAUAAAUGACCAUGGAAGUAAUUUUACAGAGGUCACUAAGAAAUUGAAAGGAAAAGGAGUGGACUUGGACAACAAUCGGUUUUUGAUUCUUCAGGGUGAAGUCGAGCAAAUUUCUCUAAUGAAGCUAAAGAUUUGUAUUUUCAGCAUUAUUGUAAUUAUAAUUGUAAUUGAUUGAAUGAAGGAUUGUAAUUGAUUGUAAUUGUAAUUGAUUGAAUGAAUGAUUGUAAUUGAUUUUAAUUGUAAUUGAUUGAAUGAAGGAUUGUAAUUGAAAGAA